GUAGUCUGCAAUAUAUGUGAGAAAUACAAACUUUAAUUCUUUUCAAAAGAGAAAAAUAACUACAAAAUAUUUGAACUUGAGUAACAUUUUUCUGUAGUAAGUUGGGUUUUCCUGGCAUUACUUGUACAAUGCCAUGUCUAUGGAAAUGUCAAAUUUGCAAUUUAUUUGCAUCAUUUCAAGAUGCAAUGCUAGAAGCACUUAGAGAGGCCACAUACUCAGCAAAAACUUAGUGCAGAAAGAAACUCAAAUGUUAUCAGCUCUGAAGCUGGACAUAGUGGCUUUAUCAAUGUGUGUCUGCCAUACAGCUCUUGAUCAAGCCUGUGGAGUUUGCAUCCUCACUAUGAGGAAUUUUCUAGCACUAACACUUUUUACCAAAUAGGCAGGGCUUCCAGUAAAGGUGGCACUGCAUCAGCCCAUGGUGUCUAAGAUGCGGGAAAAAAUCAUCUUUCUGUUACAUUCCUUUUGUUCUUCAAGUGCUAUAACCAGUUAAUUUUGCUAGAUUUACAUCAAAUGCAUCUUUCUACAAAAACACAGUAACUGUUCUGAACAUGGUAUGUGCUGUACACUUUGAGAAGAUUUCAUGAGCAACAGUAGUUUCUUGUGGCCUCUGCAGUGUAUUUUUGUGCUGGUGUAAUUCCAGGGAGCCAAAGGUUCUCUCUCUGUUGUCAGAGCUGAAGAAAACGCAGUAUUAGAAACUUAUAAUCUUCUCUUGGGGGCUAAUUUUAAUGAAAUAUUAAUAGAGAAGAAAAUAGCUGCUAAAUAGAAGUAAAUGUUAAUUUAUUAACAUGGGGAAUGUAGCAGGGAGAAUUGAUAAAAUACAUUUUGUGUGAGUUUUACUACGUACACCAAUUUCCACAUAAAUAAACAUCAUUGGGAUGUACUUCCAAAUCUUGAUGAAUUUUUUUGAUCUGCAUGCCACAGUAUACUGCCAGAGACCUGAAGAGCUAUAGAUCAAGCUUCAUGAGCUCUAAGCGAGCUGAAAGCUUCUGUGUGUUAGUAUUAGCUUUGGUUAAGAUAUUUAUUGGAGUUGCUGUUUGGUUAAACUUUCAGGUCUGUAUAUAUUAAUUUUCCAAAUUAGUAAUUUAUAAAAGUAAGUGGAAUAUGGAUUACAUAGGUGCAUUUGGGAAUCUCUGCUAAUAAAAGGUAUAAAAUACCUUUUCUUGUCUAUGUAAUUGUGAGGUUUGCCAGGACAGGGGGCACAAAACAAGGCCUGCUACCUUUUUUAAACUGUUUUUUUCAGUGUACGUGAGUUUUCUACAUGGUUAUUUUAUUCUCCAAAAUUUAUCUGUGCAAGAAUUAGUCAAACCAGUGACUCUUGCUACUUUCCUCUGCUGCAUUGUUGCACACGUGAUAUUUACUGCACAUGAGGCUUCUUUUACAUUCUGCAGAACCCUGCCACAUUUUUCUGUUCUCUUUCAAAGCAGGAGUUCACAUCUAAAUGUUUUCUCACUCUGGUGAUGGAAAAGGUCUGUUAGAGUAUGCUGUAAUAACUCUGCAGAAGGGUUAAAACCCAGGGGAACAGGAAGCAAGCAUUUGAAAAGAUUGAAAGGUAUUUGUAUUUUAAUAGAAGUGAUGAGUACUUUACUUUUCCUUGGGCAUGAAUGCUGUUUGCCUUACAAAUGAGAAUUCAGUUUCUCAAAUCGAAGAUAAUUUAAACAGUUGUGAAUGUAUGAAUGAAACAAAACUUAGAGAUUGUGAAAGUAACGCAAAUAAAUUAACAAUUUUUUUCUUUUUAAAAGUUGAAGUAAAUUGGGUUCAGGGGAUUUGAAAGUGAUAUGGAAUAAAAAAACCUAGGCAUUUAACUGCCCUCACAACCCUGCUUAUAACACAAGUGUUUCAGCAACUACAUUUUUUCCUUGAAUUCAAAGCUUUGUUUGAAUGUCAGUGUUACAUACACUGGAACACAAGAGGUUUGGGUUUUGCAAGUAAAGCUCUUCUAUGUGUGUUUUCCUGCAUGUGGCUGUUCAGGAGCACAGGUGACAAGCCUUGGGCGGUUACCUCUCUUGGGAUGCCAUGUCACAGUUUGUCCUUUUGUGACCUAAAAUUGGGCUUGCAGCCUGGGUGUGCCAGCCACAGGCAGUUCCUUCAGUGGGUAGCUCAUAUCUUACACUCUGUAGGGGACUCCCUUCUGCAGUCUAGUGACAGCAGACAUCAUCAGUGACAGAGAGUAUUUGACUCCCUGGAUGUUUUGAGACUGUGCUAGUGCUGCGAUACAUCAGGAACAAAACGGCUGUGGAUAUUCACUUUAUCCAGGCCAUCAUUCAACUGUUGCAACAAAUUAUACAUAGCUUGUUAUGCACACAACACAGACUUGUCCCUAUAAAUCACCAGCCCUCAAGUGCAGUCGGGUUCAAGUCCAUACCUGAGUCUGCGCAGCUCAAGGAAGUCUGGUUUUGUCUGACAGGCAGCAGAGACAUUGCAUGUUGACUAACCAGAUGACAAAUCUUAUGCCUGUAGUAACUGAGAUUGUAUUAAUUGUACUUAUGGUAGCUCUCUGCUGAAUGGACUCAGCCUGCCACAAAGCAGGGCGAUGUUGGUAGCUGGGCUCUGGUUAGAUCCCAUCCUUUCAGUAAGAGGGGAAAGCAUUCCUGGCUAAGGAGAGAGCUCAUGGCACAAAGCUGUGCACAGGGCUGAUGGGAGCUCAGGUGAUUGUAAUUCAGGUGGAAGUAUGGAAAAAUGAAAGAAGGAGGAAUGUAAACUGUGUGAAAUGUGAGUAUACUGGCUCAAUCGUAAUACUGUAAAUCGAAAUAUAAAUAUUUAAAAUCUUUUACUUAACCUCAUUGUGUAACCACAUCCAUGUGCAGUCAGAACAUGAAUGCAACUUCAUAUAAAUAGAGCACAUGAAAGUUAUGUAGAAAAGAAUCCACAUUUAGUCAGUUUGGUACAGUUUCUGGGUGAUGUGUCACUGUCUUCCACUGCAUUACCAGUAGCAUUGCAGUGUUCAGUGGUUCCAAAUGUGAACAUCCUGUAACAGAGGCACCUCUCAGCCACUUAGUUGUCUGGCCAGAUUGAAUUAAGAUGCUUUGAGCAGGGACUAUGAUCAGUAGUACUCUUCAGGUAAUGCAGAGUGUAGUUUGAAGAGUGAAGCAGAGAGCCCAACUCAAAACCAAGAGACAGCUCUUGGAGUGAAACUGCUGUCUAGGUUGAUAUUGCUGGCAUUGAAUAUUCAGUGUUUUGAAGAAGAGAUACCAGACGAAUGGGUGUGUUUUGUGUGCAUUAUGGUAUGCCAAGCUGAUACGCAGAACUGGUUUACUACAUGAUGUUUGUCUCGUGAUGGGAGGUGGAGCUUGAAAACAACAGUCAUUUAGUCCUGAGUUUCUUCACCGGUUACUUUUCCUUUAUUGCCUUUCUGCAUUUUAUUAUAGCUGCAGACAUGUACGUUCCUCUAAUAGAACAGAGGACAGUGACAUAUAUAUAACUGAAGUCCCUAUGCGAUUACCGGUGUAAUAAAAACAAGUGAUUCAGUAACUUUUUAUGAAAGCUGUAAAUAAUGAAAUUAAAGAUCUGCUGAAGGUGAUCAUUUUCCAUGAGAAGAUCUCAUGAUCUUGUGUACGUAUGUGGAAACUGCGAAGCUCUCAAGUCCUGCUUCUGGCCCUGGCAGUGACUGCUGUGGCGGUGAGCAAGUUAAAUCACUUCUCCCCCGGCUUCCAUGUUAAGUAGUUUCCUCUAUUAACUGGCCGAAUAGUUUGUUUCCUCUGGAGCACUUCAUCAGGGAGCUGCCAAACCUGACGUACAGUGGAUCCUGUCUUAUUCUUUGACUAGUCUCAUUGGGUGUGCUUGUUAUGAAGUAAUUAGACUUUGUUAUGAGUAAGCAGCAUCAGGCUAGAAACUUAAUAUCCUUCUGAGAUGAGUGCUGCUUAAAUAAUAACUAACCUUCUACUUUGUCUAUCCAGUCUAGUUUAAGUCCAGUAAGCUUUCAAAAUGAAACACUAUAUUGUAUGGCUCUAAUAAUGUCCUGUAAAUAGCUGCUGCUUCAUACUUCAUUUAGAGCUGCCUUAUACUUGAUGAAAAUACAUACGCUGACAUGACCUUUCCUUACUAAUGUACACUUUUUAAUUCAAAUAUCUUUCUUUUGCUGAUGAGCUCUUCCUAUUCUGUCUUGGCCUCAGCAUUAAUUCUCAUCUUGCAUAUUACUGUUCCUUUCAAAGCAAUUAUUGCUUACAUGCACUGCUGUACUUGCUGUACGAACAUUUUCAUUUGGGAUAUAAUAUAAAGUAAAAUAGAGCUGGAUAUUUCAAACUUCGUAUUAGCUAGACCUGCUUAGGGAAUCCUGUUUUGCUGCUUCUUCAAUUCUGUCUUCCUUUUGCUUCCUAUGUUUUAUCUAUGGAAGCUGCUGAGUAUGAAUACCCUUUGCUAACCUUGUGUCUUUUCCUAGUAUUUGGAAAAAUUUGAUAGGGUUAGGAGGUGGGUGAUGGUGUUCAGUAAGACUUGGGAGUGAGAGAACAUGAUCCUGUUUGUAGAAAUGCAGUCCGAAUUAUUUUAGAUGAGUAAGUCAGCUAUAGAAAUUCCAGUUGUCAACAUAGGUCCCUUGAGCUCUCUGUGCUACGUAGAGGCAUGGUGACGUGGUGAUAGAGCACAGGUAAAGCUGCCUAUAUCACCAUAAAGUUGUAUAAUUAUGGUGGUUUCAAAUGCAUCGGCUGUCCUUCCCCUUCCACCUCCUGUCAUUUCACCUGACACACUGCCUUGUACCAUGGGCUGGUUGUGCCAUUGCAGCUCUGUGAGCUGUGCAACUCUGCUGUGAGCCAGAGUGUACGCCGUCACAGAAAAGGAAAAAAGGAAAAAGAUCAGGCUUUUUUCAUCAGUGUCACAUCCUUGCUGGGUAUAACUAGUGGGGAAAGACAUGGCAGGGAUGAAGUGGUGAGGAACAGCAAUUGUUCAAAUAGAAGUACUGCUCUUGCUUUGAGUGUUAAGGAGAUGGUGUCAGAGCACACCAGCAAGUUAAAAGUCAUUGACUUACUGCCUGCUUAGAUGUUACUGUGCAUUGCUUCAGAUGAUUCCACUGUUUGUGUAUGCUUUAAACAAAGUGAAUGUGGUUAAUUUAAUGUCUAUUUGUGCUGUGGUUGGGACUGCUCUAGACAAUGUAAGGUCAGCGACCAGCUCUCUGCUAACAGAGAGCUAACAGCUCUCUGGUAACUUUUGAAGAGGCACAAGACAGAAAACAUUUUCAUUUCCAUGCACGAUCCUUGAGGAGCCACCAUGCUGUCUCCUCCUGGGAUGGGCUCUUCCUGACCCAGGUGGGUUUCUUUAGAAAUGAAAACGGGAAGAAGUGUGUCAGGGCAGGUCUUGGUGCAAUAGUUACCAAGGGGAGAUAAAGCAUAAGGAGGGUAGGGGCUUCCCCUGAGGCGUUCAGGCUGUGCUCAUGUAUCAGGCCCAUCGCUGCUCUUCUGCUCUGGGGGAGGCUUGCAGUACACCCCAGGAGGCACCGCAAGAAGGGAAGGGCAGGGGAGGUGUAUUUUGUGUGGAUUUCGACUUUCCCCUCAAGCUCUUUCUAAACAGAACAAGAGGAACAAAACCUUUCCCCCCAAAUGUUUCUUCAUAAAAGGUGUAAGAACAACCACAAACCCUUUAGUGUUAUGCAGAUAAUUCAGAGGGCACCUCAAACACAACCUUCAGUUGUUUGAAGUUAGUUUUUGUUGAAGUUGUAUGUGUGCCUCUAAAAUUUCCAGAUGCUUAGAUAUUUGCUUAACAAAAAAGCUUGUUUUCUUUGAGCUAAACUAAAUACCCAAGAUUUGAAAAGACUUCUUAGGCAAAAGAGCUACCUUCUCAUCCCGAAGACUAAUUAUUGAGGCUUUCUGUUUUCUCAGGAGUCUCAUUCUCUUAGAAUACAUAUUGCAUUUUCAGAGCACAUUUCCUCGCUUAGAAUUUCACUUGUUGGGAUUAGCUAUUGUAGUACUGUCACCUACCCCGCAGGGUUGCUCCUGCUUGGCUGCACAGGGGAGAAAAGGGAGAAAUUACUGCAGCUUGCUAAGAUACUUUGCCCUAACUAUGAUGCUUACAUUGUGAAGCAAUGGUCCACCUCAGUGCUGACCAUGGGACAGCAUGCAUUUGCUUUCUACUCCUGGAAUUCCAGGAUGAGAAAUGACCUGUAUUCAGAUGUAAAUAAAAUUGCUAAUUCAGCUACUCCAGGUCUAAGUUUUUCAAAUUUGUUUCUGGGUUUUUUUUGCUCUUGCAAGUCUUUAUGUUUUUUUAAGGAAGGAGGUGUUAUUCCUUACAAGAGGAAAGGAUUGAAGUUUCUUUUUAUUAGGUUAAGUAAAACUAGGACGUUGGUGCAUGUACAGGCUACUUUUGGGCCAGUGAGAAUGGCACCCACUACAUGGCCUUGAUUACGCAGCUAAGGGAAUAGAAGCACUCUGGUUUUUAAUUUCCACAAUUUAAGCACAGUAAAAUGCUGUCAAAUAAUGUCUAUCAAGAUCUUGUAAGUUUGUUGAGACCCUUUUCUUCUGCUUUUCUUCCUUGCUAAGCUGCUCAGUAUUCCAGCAUCCUCAAAACUUCUGCAUGCUGUGAAGUAACGAAGCAGAACAUUAAAUCUUUUAAAUCCUGUGAGUGCCAGCAAUCUACUGAGCAUUUCACAGCACUGUUGUCAGUGAAGAAUGCUUGUGUGUAUUCUCUACAUUGUAAUCCCCUGAGUGUGAAAUUAGAUCUGCUACCAGUUUCUUUUUCUCUUCUUUAAUUCUUUUUCAUAUCAAAUAUAAUAUGUACUUUAAUUGCCCUGUUUCUGGUUAUAUAAAGCAAGACAUUCCCCUUUUGAUAAGUAGAUUUCCAACUUUUUUUUUUUUAGUAGCACAGGUUAAUAGUACAAUUUAGAUGGAAUGGAUGAUUGUGUGAAGAAUUACAGACUUUUUUUUCCCCUUUGUUUUUACAUGUGACCUCCUUUUGACUAUUUACCAAUGUCAGUCCUAUACAUCUCCAUUUUUGUUUUUAAAAUCUGCUUUAAUAGCAUAUGGCCUUUUUGUGAUCAAAGUUGGGCUUAUUGAGCGCUUUCAAAACAAUACUUUGCUAAACAUAAAGAUAAUAUUGUAUUAACUUCAAGUUUCAGAAGCACAGCACUGACAGUCUUAAACAGUUCUUAUCCCUUACUGUGUUAUUUUUAUCACAAGUGUUAACUCAAAAGUCUUUUUCUUUUUUCCCCUCAGUUUAAAAAAGUCAGUAAACUUUUCUAUAUCUAUAUCUUCAGCUGUGAAAUGAGACCGAUGCUUACCUGGCACAUCAUGGAGUAAUGUGAAACUGGUUAGGGUUUGAGAUUUAGAAAGGGGCUGGGAGAGCACUGAAAAUGUGUGAAUUACUGAUGUUUAGUAGCUGGUACAGAUGUACAGUUAUCUGCAUGGAUGAAAAAUAUAUAGACGACUGUAAAGACACAAAUGAGAUUGAAUUGGAUUAGUUUGAAUAAAGGAAUCCUGUGGUA
This is a long non-coding RNA of Pseudopipra pipra, 7402 nucleotides long. RefSeq lists it as uncharacterized. The transcript is spliced from 2 exons. The record is from RefSeq and is a predicted model, not a curated record. NCBI's taxonomy places the organism in Eukaryota, Metazoa, Chordata, Aves, Passeriformes, Pipridae.